RNAcentral lists this ribosomal RNA (253 nucleotides) under uncultured bacterium. RNAcentral describes it as "partial 16S ribosomal RNA". It matches the Rfam family "Bacterial small subunit ribosomal RNA", at positions 524 to 776 of the family's 1533-position model. The record is from RNAcentral.
CACGGGGGGAGCAAGCGUUGUUCGGAAUCACUGGGCGUAAAGGGCGUGCAGGCGGUCAGGUAAGUGAGAUGUGAAAUGCCCCGGCUCACCCGGGGACCGGCAUCUCAUACUGCUUGGCUUGAGUACGGGAGAGGAUGUGGGAAUUCCUGGUGUAGCGGUGAAAUGCGUAGAUAUCAGGAGGAACACCGGUGGCGAAGGCGGGUCUCUGGGCCGAAAUUGACGCUGAGGAGCGAAAGCGUGGGGAGCAAACAGG